GAGCCGGCAGUGGCAACCCACUUUGGGUCCCCUCCUGUUGAAUGGGAGCUCUGUUUUCACUCUAUUAAAUCUUGCAACUGCACACUCUUCUGGUCUGUGUUUGUUCCGGCUUGAGCUGAGCUUUUGCUUGCCAUCCACGCACUGCUAAAUACCGCCAUCGCAGACCCACUGUUGACUUUCACCCCUCCAGAUCUGGCAGAGUCUUGCUGUGUUUCUGAUCCAGCGAGGUGCCCCUUGCCGCUCCCGUUCAGGCUAGAGACUAGCCAUUGUUCCUGCAUGGCUAAGUGCCUGGGUUCAUCCUAAUCGAGCUGAACACUAGUCGCUGGGUUCCACAGUUCUUUUCCGUGACCCAUGGCUUCUAAUAGAGCUAUAACACUCACCGCAUGGCCCAAGGUUCCAUUCCUCAGAAUUCAUGAGGCCAAGAACCCCAGGUCAGAGAACAAAAGGCUUGCUGCCAUCUUGGGAGUGGCCGCCACCAUCUUGGGAGCUCUAAGAACAAAGACCCACCCGUAACAUUUGGUGGCAACUGUACGGGGAUUCUCCAAAGUGAAUCAAAACUGUAAAACUACAAAUUGUUCUUCAAAUGGAGCCCCAGAUGCAGUCUAUGACUAAGAUCAACCACAGACCCUUGGACUGGCCUGCUAGCCCAUGCUCCGAUGUUGAUGACAUCGAAGGCACCCCUCCUGAGGAAAUCUGAACUGCGAGACCCCUCCUAUGCCCCAAUUCAGCAGGAAGCAGUUAGAACGGUCAUCGGCCAACUUCCCCAACAGCACUUGGGUUUUCCUGUUGAGAGGGGGGAUUGAGAGACAGGACUAGCUGGAUUUCCUAGGCUGACUAAGAAUUCCUAAGCCUAGCUGGGGAAGGUGACCACACCCACCUUUAAAAUAUAGGGCUUGUAACUCAGCUUACAUCUGACCGAUCAGGUAGUAAAGAGAGCUCACUAAACUACCAAUUAGGCUAAAAGCAGGAGGUAAAGAAAUAGUCAAUCAUCUAUCACCUGAGAGCACAGGGGGAGGGACAGUGAUUGGGAUAUAAACACAGGUAUUUGAGAGGCAGUGGCAACCCCCUUUGGGUCCCCUCCCAUUGAAUGGGAACUCUGUUUUCACUCUAUUAAAUCUUGCAACUGCACAC
This 1131-nucleotide long non-coding RNA is filed under the name Homo sapiens (human). RNAcentral describes it as "HSALNT0143215". The record is from RNAcentral. Lineage: Eukaryota; Metazoa; Chordata; Mammalia; Primates; Hominidae.